RNAcentral lists this ribosomal RNA (253 nucleotides) under uncultured bacterium. RNAcentral describes it as "partial 16S ribosomal RNA". It matches the Rfam family "Bacterial small subunit ribosomal RNA", at positions 524 to 776 of the family's 1533-position model. The record is from RNAcentral.
UACGUAGGGCGCAAGCGUUGUCCGGAAUUAUUGGGCGUAAGGAGCUCGUAGGCGGUUUGCCGCGUCUGCCGUGAAAGCCCGGGGCUCAACCCCGGGUCUGCGGUGGGUACGGGCAGACUGGAGUGCAGUAGGGGAGACCGGAAUUCCUGGUGUAGCAGUGAAAUGCGUAGAUAUCAGGAGGAAUACCGAUGGCGAAGGCAGGUCUCUGGGCUGACACUGACGCUCAUGCACGAAAGCGUGGGGAGCAAACAGG